Molecule: transfer RNA, 76 nt
Filed under: Bacillus pacificus
Lineage: Bacteria; Bacillati; Bacillota; Bacilli; Caryophanales; Bacillaceae
Description: tRNA-Ile
Rfam family: tRNA
About the family: Transfer RNA (tRNA) molecules are approximately 80 nucleotides in length. Their secondary structure includes four short double-helical elements and three loops (D, anti-codon, and T loops).
Source: RNAcentral
GGCCUAUAGCUCAGCUGGUUAGAGCGCACGCCUGAUAAGUGUUAGGUCGAUGGUUCGAGUCCAUUUAGGGCCACCA